AAAUGAAAGAACAAGGAGAAGAAAGUACGCUUUAGAAGUCCUUUAUCAGAGUCCCCUCUGUGGCUCAGGGGUAGUGAACCCAACUAGUGUCCAUGGGGUUUCAGGUUUGAUCCCUGGCCUCUCUCAGUGGGUUAAGGAUCUGACAUUGCUGUGAGCUGUGGUGCAGGUCAUGGACACAGCUCUGAUCCCAUGUUGCUGUGGCUGUGACCUAGGACGGCAGCUGCAGCUCCGAUUGGACCCCUAGCCCUGGAACUUCCAUAUGUCGAGGGUGCAAGCCCUAAAAAGCAUUAAAAAAAAAAAAAAAAAAAAAGCUCUGGAGUUCCCGUGGUGGCGCAUUCAUGGCAAAACUGGAUCCUCGACCCAUUGAGCAAGGCCAGGGAUCUAACCCGCAACCUCAUGGAUUCUAGUUGGAUUCAUUUCCUCUGCUCCACAACAGGAACUCCCGUUACUGUUUUUUUAAAUGAGUUCAUUUGUAUUAUUUUUUAAAUGCCACAUAUAAGUGAUAUCAUAAAAUAUUUCUUUUUCUCUAUCUGACUUAUUUCACUUAAUAUGAUAAUCUCUAGGUCCAUCCAUAUUUCUGCAAAAGUCAUGAUUUUAUUCUUUGUUAUGGCUGAGCAGUAUUCCAUUGUAUAUAGUUACCACAUAUCCUUUAUCCAUUCCUCCGUCAAUGGACAUUUAGGUUGCUUCCAUGUUUUGGCUGCAAUGAAACUUGGGUGCAUGCAUCUUCAAAUUAUGGUUUUCUCUGGAUAGAUGCCCAGGAGGGGGAGUGCUGGGUCAUAUGGAUAUUCAUUUUUGCUUGAGGCUGCUUCCAGGAAAGUUGAUUCUCCAGCCUAUUUGGCUUGCCCUGAAGGCAAGAUGAGGAUGCUCCAGCAUCAGGAACAAAAAUAGAGAAGUUCUCAGGCAGAGAGUCACAGGUAUUCAUAGCAAAUAGCCUGCAAUAGAAGAGAAUACAGAGGAAAUAUGUAUGGGGCACAGAGCUCUAAAGAGACCCAGGCAGACCCUCACACAUUAAGUAGAAAAAGAAGAUGUUUACUUUAUAACCUUCAGUUACAUGGAGUCAAACAUCUGCACAAGGUAAGGCUUUAGAAGACAAAGAAGUAGUUGCCAUAAAUGUGACUUCAUAUAAAUGCACUUAAGAAACUAGAGAAAGAAACUGACAAGAUGAAGAGUUUACAUUGUGAGUUCAAGUCACAGGGUAGCGUAUCAUAAAGAUGAUGGGACUUCCUUGAAAUAAUUCCCUGUAAUCUGAAUUGGCAAAGUGAGAUUUCUAAAAAACUAAAGUCUGAUCCAAUAAAUGGUCGAAUUAUAAAGCAAACUGAAUUACCGCCUUGAGAAGGCUCUUAAGUGACAGUUAAGUCAUUGAUGGAAAAAGAAUGGUACACUAAUAAUAGGAAUGAACAUAUUUCAAUGACUCAACUUUGAUCUCCCCCCAGAUUUUUCAGAAUUUUCCUUAGCAACAAAAGCAGCCUCUCCUUUUCUCCUCUGGGAGAUGUUAUUAGCCUCUGUUUGCCUGAAGACCACAAAAUCAUUGUCAGCAUGACACUUACUGACUAUUUUAACCAUUUUAAGUGUAUAUUUCUAUGGCAUGAAGUACAUUCUCAUUGUAGUACAACUAUCACCACCAUGCAUCUCCAGAGAUUUUUCAUCUCCCCAAACUAAAACACGGUCUCCAUCAUACGCCAGUUCCCCUUUCCUGUCUCCCUGCUGGCCCCUGGCCACCCUCAUUCUACCCUCUAUAAACUUGACAAUGCUAGAUGCCUCAUAUAAGUGUAAUCAUGCAGCAUUUUUCCUUUUGUGACUGACUUAUUUCACUUCACAUAAUGUCCUUGAGGUUCAGCCACAAAGUAGCAUAGGUCAGAAUCUCUGACCUCUUUAAGGCUGAAUAGUAGUCCAUUGUACAUACAGUCCACAUUUUGUUUAUCCAUCCAGCCACUGAUGGGCAUAUAGAUUGCUUCUACCUUCCAGCUGCUGUAAAUAAUGCUGCCAGGAACAUUGUUGCACAAAUAACUAUAUGAGUCCCUGCCUUCAAUUCGGUUGAAUACUAGUGAGCUUAUGAAAACCACUUGCGAUAGUGCAUCAAGCUUCAGUCUUUGACAGAAGCUUCCCUGGCAUUUGGUGUUCACAUCUUUGAUAACUAUUCCCCAGCCCUCUCAUGUUACAUAUGCCCUUGCAUAUCUUGAAUACAUAACGUGGCUUCUGUUUUCCUGGCUUACAUUUAAUGUUCAUGUUUCAUGCUCCCUCCCAUUCAUUUUCUGUGCUCUGGUGAUACUUUUGUUAUCGGUUUUGCUAACCAUGCUCCCCCCUACCCCAGGGCCUUAGAACUUGCCCCUUUGGGUGUUUGAGUUACUUUUGAUAUACCUCUUUUUUUCCCCUAAUUAACACAUCGUCUUUCAAAACUCAGCUCAGUGUCACAUCCUCAAGGGAGCAUUUUCCUUCUCAGGGACCUUUGAGUAUUAUCUCCUCUUCCCUUAGAAUACUUUAACUUGGUUUCUAAUUUUAUAUUUACCUGUGUUCUUAUUUAAUUAACAUUUCUGUCAUGGUCCAGGCACAGAAGCUAAGCUCUAGGUGAUCAGAGAUUCUCUGCUCACUUUGUUUUUCUAGCACCAAAUUGCUACACUGUGUAGCAAUUACUAGCUAUGAUUUCAAGUCAUUUUGGAAGCCUGUUAAAGAACUGUGAACUCCAACAGAUGCUGGUAUUCUGGAGAGGGCAUUGAAGGAUAUAGUAGCUUAAAACCAAGGGGUUCAGGUUGCUGUUUGAGUCAACAGCUUAGAACAUGUCAGAGCUGAGAACACACUUACUCAUAUGGCCAAUAGGAAGGGGGAAGUGAUCUGGUUAAGGGGGAUGCUGUUGUACCUUUGUUCAGCAUGAUAGAGAUUGGGGGCUUGCCCUUGAGACUUCCUUGAGGAAGGAGAGCAUUGAUUUCUCACUGCUGCCUGACCUCAGCCUCUGCUCACCAUUGCUGAAUAGGAAUGCAGAGACAGAGUUUUGGGUGAAGGAGGAAAAAAUAACAUUAUUGUUUUGCCAGGCAAAAGGGAGUCACAACAGGCUAAUGCCUCAAAGACUGUGUCCUCCCUUAGGAGAGAUCGUAAGGGUGGUUUUUUAGCUUUGGGAGUGAAAAAUAGGCCCGCAGAUAGGGAUCAGUGUAGAGGCAAGCUUGCAUUGUUUUCAAAGCUGGGGUUCAGUGGUCUGGUGGCCUUCUUUUUGCAAUAAAGUGUGCUUCAUUAUAUGUAUGUAUGACUGGGUCACUUUGCAAUACAGCAGAAAUUGACAGAACAUUGUAGAUCAACUAUGAAGAAAAAAUAAAAAUCUUUAAAAAGAAAUUUCCAUUUAUUGGAGGGUUUAGUUCUACGGGAGACCUCAAAGAUGUUGUAUAUAUUCCUUGUGGAGGGACCAGGACACUGCCCAAAGGCUGCGCUAUUGUUUCUUGACUGCCUCUCUCUGGUCUCUGCAUCCCCUCCCUUCUCUGAUUAGCAACUGUUUGAACUUGCCCUUUGGAAUGAGGGAAGGUCAUGGGGGCUGAAGUUUAUUCCCUAAAAACAAGAAAUGGGGGACACAGAAAGGCUUCUGUGCCCAGGAGCCCACAGGAUCCCACUUGGUUUCAUCACAGCAAAGUUUGGGGGCUUUAGAGAGAUAUCAACUCUUCAAUACCCAAGGCAAUUCAAAUGGAAACUCAACCACUGUAUCAGGGAGUUCAGUGGCUGAGAGGAAGGGUUAAGUGAGUCUUUUUUUUCACACAUAAGACACCUCUGGAUCUCAAACAGUAGUCUUCAGAGAUUCAGAAGGAAAACAUAAGUGCCCAGGAAUGGAAUAAAAAGAAAAACACAAGUAUGACAAUAGGAGACAAGUUGUUUGUUUAUUUAACGAGGUAGAUGCUUCUGCUUUCCUUAUGAAGGCUGCACGUAAUUGUCAGAGACCACACUCCAAACUGGACGAAGAGUUUCUGAUUUGACAAUCUGUUCUUCGAUUUAAGCAAGCAUAAAUAAAACAUAACUAUGUACUCCUGAUUUAACCGUGUACGUAAGUAUGUAUACGUGGCCUUGUACAUAGCCCCAACUAACCUAAACACUUGUAUUUCUAUAAAGUCUAAACACUGAAAAUUAUAUUCUCUCCAAAACUGAGAACUGAUUCAUCUGAUUAUAAUUACAAUUGUACAGGUCUCGUUGUGAAGAAAAAACCCCUAUUCAUUUAUCGUAGAUGACUCUCUGAAGAACAUGAUGGGAACUCCUAAGCUACUAGUUUUUCUCUUCUGACCCAAGUUUCACCUAAAUUUCUGAAGUGACUAGUGCUUUCAUGACAAUGAAACGUAUCCUAAAUAAUGAAGCUCAUCACCAUCUCCCAAAGUUCUCUUCAAGGAAAACAAGCUCAAGUCAUAAAGUAAUCAUAUGAUAAAAUUGACUGCCAACCCACGACUAUGCAAAGCUGCUUCAAAGUCUGGUUUCCCUCUAGUGUUAAUUACCCAAAGUCUAUAUGCUCUAGGUUAUGAGUAGAAAUAGGAAAAGAAGAAGAGAAUGUGGCCCAGAGAGCACAACUUGAGGGAAAAGCACAUGAGUUGAUGCAGAUUCCUGUCUGAUCAGAGAAAGGCAAAGGCCAUAGGUGUUGGGAAGGAGGAAGGCCAGAGGCAUCCAGGUACCUUUUGCAAACUGCAGACUCUCAGGACAUGAAGGUGAGAAGGCAAGGGCAGGGGGUUAGAAGGUCAAGCAGCUACAAGCAAUCAGUCAGCCAAAUUGCUGAAAGCCCAGGGCAAGAAAGGCAAAAGUACAGGUUUUGUAGAGCAGUGGCAACAAGGAAGAAAAUUUGGAUUCAGUGGCAGCUGUCACUGUUUACUUCUCACCCUAGAGAGAGUCAUUCCUGAGUGGACCCAGACUGCAGGCUGGGAUUGAUGGUAACAGAGAACAGCUGGUGG
RNAcentral lists this long non-coding RNA (4904 nucleotides) under Sus scrofa (pig). RNAcentral's name for it is "lncRNA (ENSSSCG00065057011.1)". Lineage: Eukaryota; Metazoa; Chordata; Mammalia; Artiodactyla; Suidae. The record is from RNAcentral.